Molecule: ribosomal RNA, 525 nt
Filed under: uncultured bacterium
Lineage: Bacteria
Description: bacterial SSU rRNA
Rfam family: Bacterial small subunit ribosomal RNA
Source: RNAcentral
UAGGGUGCGAGCGUUAUCCGGAAUUAUUGGGCGUAAAGAGCUCGUAGGCGGUUUGUCACGUCUGUCGUGAAAGUCCGGGGCUUACCCCGGAUCUGCGGUGGGUACGGGCAGACUAGAGUGCAGUAGGGGAGACUGGAAUUCCUGGUGUAGCGGUGGAAUGCGCAGAUAUCAGGAGGAACACCGAUGGCGAAGGCAGGUCUCUGGGCUGUAACUGACGCUGAGGAGCGAAAGCAUGGGGAGCGAACAGGAUUAGAUACCCUGGUAGUCCAUGCCGUAAACGUUGGGCACUAGGUGUGGGGACCAUUCCACGGUUUCCGCGCCGCAGCUAACGCAUUAAGUGCCCCGCCUGGGGAGUACGGCCGCAAGGCUAAAACUCAAAGGAAUUGACGGGGGCCCGCACAAGCGGCGGAGCAUGCGGAUUAAUUCGAUGCAACGCGAAGAACCUUACCAAGGCUUGACAUGUGUUCGACCGCCGUGGAGACACGGUUCCCCUUUGGGGCGGAUGCCAGGUGGUGCAUGGUUGUC